This is a long non-coding RNA of Lynx canadensis (Canada lynx), 2721 nucleotides long. RefSeq lists it as uncharacterized. The transcript has 2 exons. NCBI's taxonomy places the organism in Eukaryota, Metazoa, Chordata, Mammalia, Carnivora, Felidae. The record is from RefSeq and is a predicted model, not a curated record.
CCAGGAACCGUGAGAUCAUGACCUGAUCAGAAGUCAGACGCUGAACCAACUGAACCCCCAGGUGUUCCACUUCACUUUUUAACUUAACUUUGUAAAGGCCCUAUUUCCAAAUAGGGUCACAUUCUGAAGUACUAGAGGUUAGGACUUCAAAAUAUCUUUUUUGAAGGGACACAGUUUAACCCAUAACAGUCUCCAUCCCGCCAAGCUAGUGGGAAACCGUUAGCUCCCUCUUCACCACACCCACAUAUCCUCCAGCCUGGGACUGAGCUGCUGAUGUUUUUGGCCAAACCCGAGGACCUGGGAGAGCCCUUUGUCUUAAGUCUUAUUUGCUGCGUGGUGCCCAAGCUUGCAUGGUGUCUCCAAGUCAGCAGCCAGCCGGCCAUGCUUUGCCUGAAAGCCCCAAACCCCUUGCCUCACUGGCAACUCCAGUGUCCAGAGAGUUGGCUGGGUAAUAUGGCACCCUACAUAAGUAUCCUUUCUGAAUAUUGCCACUUCACCAGGGACCUGAGGGCUUGCUAGUCUUGACCCUAUUCACCUUUUUCCUUUCCCUUUUCGACGCCCGUAAGCGAUCCCCUCAAGCAGUUCCCAAAGAAACAGAGCACUGACAUUAAAUAGAUUUAUCACCAAACCUUCCCUGAGGAGAGGCCACUCAGAGCCUGCUUACUUCCAUAAAAUGGAGGGAGAGAAAAAGAUGAAUAACAAAGCUCGUAUAUCAGUGCCUCGUCCUGCCAUGCUUCUAACAGUGUGCCCAACAGAUAAGCCACAGGCCAGUUCACCAAGAGAGGCCACGCUGGCUGGAACCUCAGACCCGAACAUGGCCUCCUUCUCUCCACACUCAGUCCAAGGCACUUGCCUACCUGAGCAGGUGUUGCUGGGACCUGCGGGUGACUCGGUGUGAAUGAGUUUUGCUGGGAUUGAGAGGACAUUGGGAAUGAGAUGACAAAGUCAGAGUCAUCUACUGGGAAUUGGACACAGAGCCCAGAGCAAGAACCGGAAGGGCACAGUUGAGAAGAAAUUGAGGGGUCCAUAGUCUCUCCCGAAGGAGAAAAGAAGUGACCACGUGCUUGGGCAGAGGCUCUGUGGUAUAGGAAAUGUAUUUGGCCUUUGUCUUCAUUCCUGACACAGAACUCCUAAAAUCCUGGAAUUUCCUGAGUGGUAGGGAUGUCUUUUGUUAUCCCUGAAGAGCUCUUUCUGAUCACACCUUGGUUUAUGCUACUAGGGUGAUUUGGAAUGCAGUUCCUAGAUUGCCAAGGGAUGUUUUGGGUUCUAGAAAGACCCAGGAUGGGGCUGGUCACUAGAAAACCAAGUGGUUAGAGAGUCGGAACUCCCAGCCCCACCUAGCAGCCACCAUGAAGAGUAGUAGGGGCUGGAGAUUAAGCUCUGUAAAAACUCUUGAUGUGAGAGAUUUGGUGAACUUCUGGAUUGGGGCGCGUGUGUGCACACGCACACACACACACACACACACACCACGAAGUGCUGGGGUAGUGUCAUGCACAGAGGGGCCACGGAAGCCCCAUACCCCAGCCCCCGCACUUUGCUCUGUGUGUCUCCUCCACCUGGCUGUUCCUUAUUAUAAUAAACCUGGUAAACAGAAGUGUUAACCUGAGAUCCGUGAGCAGUUCUAGCAAACCAUCCAACCUGAGGAGGGGGCUGUAGGAACCCCUGAUUCAUAGCCGGUUGGCCAGAAGUAUGGGUAGUCUAGGACUUUUGACUGGUGUCUGAAGUGGGGCAGUCUUGGGACUGAGCCCUUAAAUGUGUAGAAUCUGCCACAGACUUCAGGUAGUCGGUGUCAGACUUGAAUUCAACAUUAGGGCACUCACUUGAUGUCCAGAGAUUUGGGGACAUCGUUGGUAUGGACAAAAAAAACUCCACAGGUGUUGUCAGAGUUCCGAGUAAAAAUAGUCCAGAGUCAUCCUGACCCCAGAAGGCCAAGAGGAGCAGACUGGUGGAUUGAGGUGUCCCUGUGCUUGAGAUAGAGAACAGAGGACAGAGAAGGUCCCCCUGGGGCUCCCAGGGCCCUGAGGGCCCUUGUCACUUAGGUCCACAGGGCCAGAGACUCCUUUGUCUUUCACCACCUGUGAGAUUUCCUGUCACUAAGGAGACUCGCCAGUGACACCCACAGAGAAUGGUAGGUCCACAUGAGGCCGCCCGGCGGGGACAGGAUGGAAAGCAGAACCAUGGGGACACUUGUGCAGAGACACACAACGGCUGCAGGAGACCAAAGAGCACCUGAUAAGAGGGGCUCUUCUGCUGAGAGAUGCCACCAUGCACUCAGAGAUCUCAAACCCAGAAAAUACUGAUGACAGACGUUCCUUCAGUGAUUCUCAGCUGGGUGAGCGCUGGAGUGCCAAGGGUUGAAGCAUGUCUUUCUUCCCCCCAACUCUCAAGAUGCCUGGGCAGCCGCUUGGGACCAUCACCCUUUCUUAGAGCCCCCUGGUGCCUGGUGGGAGAGCCAUACCCCUCAGGCGUGUUGGGAUGGCAAAAUGAUUGAGAACCAAGGCACAAGUGGAUGAUCUCAGCGACUUCCAAAAUGGACGGGUGUAUGGCUUUCCCAAGGCUCCAGGAGAAUUAGAAUCCCAGGAAAACCUACCUGUGGGGGUACAAGUAUUCUGUGCCAAGGUCUCUGUUUGGUGUGAGUCUUCUGAAACAACCUGAGACUAUUGCAUAUUCCAAGAUACUAAGUUUAAGGCUACUUAAAAAAAUCUGUAGGUUGCCAGAGUU